RNAcentral lists this unclassified non-coding RNA (307 nucleotides) under plant metagenome. Its description in RNAcentral is "partial contains 5.8S ribosomal RNA, internal transcribed spacer 2, and large subunit ribosomal RNA". The stretch from base 1 to 105 matches the Rfam family "5.8S ribosomal RNA", at positions 50 to 154 of the family's 154-position model. The record is from RNAcentral.
GAAAUGCGAUAAGUAAUGUGAAUUGCAGAAUUCAGUGAAUCAUCGAAUCUUUGAACGCACAUUGCGCCCGCCAGCACUCUGGCGGGCAUGCCUGUUCGAGCGUCAUUUCAACCCUCAGAACCCCUUGCGGGAUCUGGCGUUGGGGAUUGGCAUCCAGCCAGCCCCGAAAUCUAGUGGCGGUCCCUCCGCGACCUCCCCUGUGCAGUAGCGAUACCUCGCAGCGGGACAGCGGUCUGACCACGCCGUAAAACCCCCAACUUCUCAAGGUUGACCUCGAAUCAGGUAGGAAUACCCGCUUAACUUAAGA